This 922-nucleotide ribosomal RNA is filed under the name Pseudomonas sp. EGY-SCO3. RNAcentral's name for it is "bacterial SSU rRNA". It matches the Rfam family "Bacterial small subunit ribosomal RNA", at positions 113 to 1028 of the family's 1533-position model. The record is from RNAcentral. Lineage: Bacteria; Pseudomonadati; Pseudomonadota; Gammaproteobacteria; Pseudomonadales; Pseudomonadaceae.
AUGCCUAGGAAUCUGCCUGGUAGUGGGGGAUAACGUUCCGAAAGGAACGCUAAUACCGCGUACGUCCUACGGGAGAAAGCAGGGGACCUUCGGGCCUUGCGCUAUCAGAUGAGCCUAGGUCGGAUUAGCUAGUUGGUGAGGUAAUGGCUCACCAAGGCGACGAUCCGUAACUGGUCUGAGAGGAUGAUCAGUCACACUGGAACUGAGACACGGUCCAGACUCCUACGGGAGGCAGCAGUGGGGAAUAUUGGACAAUGGGCGAAAGCCUGAUCCAGCCAUGCCGCGUGUGUGAAGAAGGUCUUCGGAUUGUAAAGCACUUUAAGUUGGGAGGAAGGGCUGUAGGCUAAUAUCCUGCAGUUUUGACGUUACCAACAGAAUAAAGCACCGGCUAACUUCGUGCCAGCAGCCGCGGUAAUACGAAGGGUGCAAGCGUUAAUCGGAAUUACUGGGCGUAAAGCGCGCGUAGGUGGUUCGUUAAGUUGGAUGUGAAAGCCCCGGGCUCAACCUGGGAACUGCAUCCAAAACUGGCGAGCUAGAGUACGGUAGAGGGUAGUGGAAUUUCCUGUGUAGCGGUGAAAUGCGUAGAUAUAGGAAGGAACACCAGUGGCGAAGGCGACUACCUGGACUGAUACUGACACUGAGGUGCGAAAGCGUGGGGAGCAAACAGGAUUAGAUACCCUGGUAGUCCACGCCGUAAACGAUGUCAACUAGCCGUUGGAAUCCUUGAGAUUUUAGUGGCGCAGCUAACGCAUUAAGUUGACCGCCUGGGGAGUACGGCCGCAAGGUUAAAACUCAAAUGAAUUGACGGGGGCCCGCACAAGCAGGUGGAGCAUGUGGUUUAAUUCGAAGCAACCGCGAAGAACCCUACCUGGCCUUGACAUGCUGAGAACUUUCCAGAGAUGGAUUGGUGGCGUCGGGAACU